GUGCUCAACUUGGCAGCACUAAAAUUGGAACCAGAUAGAGAAGGUAGCAUGGCUCCCGCACAAGGAUGACCUGCAAAUUCACGAGGCAUUCCAUAUUUUU
This 100-nucleotide small nuclear RNA is filed under the name Catagonus wagneri (Chacoan peccary). Lineage: Eukaryota; Metazoa; Chordata; Mammalia; Artiodactyla; Tayassuidae. The record is from RNAcentral.